Non-coding RNA from Ornithorhynchus anatinus (platypus), 138 nucleotides. The record is from Rfam. NCBI's taxonomy places the organism in Eukaryota, Metazoa, Chordata, Mammalia, Monotremata, Ornithorhynchidae.
CCCCUCUCAGGAUCACACCUAGAGAGUUUCCAGUACUCUACCAACCUCGGCUGUGGGUGGGAGAGUCGAGCAGAGGAAUACCCAUUCCAUUCCUAGCUUGGGCAGUGGCUAGCGAGUGGAAGGCAAUCUGCUAUAAAU